UAAAGGCCCACCAAGACGAUGAUACGUAGCCGACCUGAGAGGGUAAUCGGCCACAUUGGGACUGAGACACGGCCCAAACUCCUACGGGAGGCAGCAGUAGGGAAUCUUCCACAAUGGACGAAAGUCUGAUGGAGCAAUGCCGCGUGAGUGAAGAAGGGUUUCGGCUCGUAAAACUCUGUUGUUAAAGAAGAACACCUUUGAGAGUAACUGUUCAAGGGUUGACGGUAUUUAACCAGAAAGCCACGGCUAACUACGUGCCAGCAGCCGCGGUAAUACGUAGGUGGCAAGCGUUGUCCGGAUUUAUUGGGCGUAAAGCGAGCGCAGGCGGUUUUUUAAGUCUGAUGUGAAAGCCUUCGGCUUAACCGGAGAAGUGCAUCGGAAACUGGGAGACUUGAGUGCAGAAGAGGACAGUGGAACUCCAUGUGUAGCGGUGGAAUGCGUAGAUAUAUGGAAGAACACCAGUGGCGAAGGCGGCUGUCUAGUCUGUAACUGACGCUGAGGCUCGAAAGCAUGGGUAGCGAACAGGAUUAGAUACCCUGGUAGUCCAUGCCGUAAACGAUGAGUGCUAAGUGUUGGAGG
This 579-nucleotide ribosomal RNA is filed under the name Lactobacillus sp. 45. Its description in RNAcentral is "bacterial SSU rRNA". It matches the Rfam family "Bacterial small subunit ribosomal RNA", at positions 258 to 829 of the family's 1533-position model. The record is from RNAcentral. Lineage: Bacteria; Bacillati; Bacillota; Bacilli; Lactobacillales; Lactobacillaceae.